UACGUAGGGUGCAAGCGUUGUCCGGAAUUAUUGGGCGUAAAGAGCUCGUAGGCGGUUUGUCGCGUCUGCUGUGAAAUCCCGAGGCUCAACCUCGGGCCUGCAGUGGGUACGGGCAGACUAGAGUGCGGUAGGGGAGAUUGGAAUUCCUGGUGUAGCGGUGGAAUGCGCAGAUAUCAGGAGGAACACCGAUGGCGAAGGCAGAUCUCUGGGCCGUAACUGACGCUGAGGAGCCGAAAGCGUGGGGAGCGAACAGG
This 254-nucleotide ribosomal RNA is filed under the name uncultured bacterium. RNAcentral describes it as "partial 16S ribosomal RNA". It matches the Rfam family "Bacterial small subunit ribosomal RNA", at positions 524 to 776 of the family's 1533-position model. The record is from RNAcentral.